ACCAACUAAACGGAAGGAAUAUCACAAAAAUAACAAAACGUGGAAACUUAAAAUUAUAAAAUGUAUAUUUAUUCAACAAAAUAAAAUUCAUUGAUCCUUAAUCCAAAUGUCACCGAACAUAGCAAUAUUUCAUAUUACAAGACGUUUUAACAUCAACUUAGGUGCUACAUUAGUAAGUAGUAAUUCUAUUAUGACAAUAUCCUUGGCUCGAACAUACUAGGUGUGACCAACAACCAGUGGCACAGCUGCACCAUAAGAUCAAAACACAUACAUGAAUUAGGUCAGUUUUUUAUUUAUUUAUGAUAAUACAAGUAAGAGGAACAAAUAGUAAAACAAAUACAAAUUAUCAUCAUAAACCACAUAGCAGUAAUAAAACUAAUAAAAAAACUUGUCAAUAAGAGCAUUUGCGUUAGACUUAAUAGAGAAUUAUGGUUAAGAGUAAAAAAGUAAUCAUUAUAAUCAACAAAGAAAAUUAAAGGAUUAUUAAACUUAACUGCGAGCGCAUACACAUUCAUUUUCAAAACACUUCAUAAAGUAAUGAAUGGAACAUGGAAAAUAUAGACAAUUAGCGUCAGAAUCGCAGGUUCUUGUAAUCUCUUUUGGUGCAACGGUGGGAGGAACAUGCCUUCUUCUUCUUCCUGAAACAAAAAAUAAGAAUAAAUAUUACUAAAAGAAAUGAAGUAUUUGUAUAUAAUUAAAAGAAAAUAUGAGAAUGAGUUUACCACCAACUUCGACUACAACAAGAAAUAUGGAAAUAAAAAGAAUUAUAGUAUAAAAAUAUUUGAGAAUUUCAGCCAUUUUUGCACCUAUGCAUGUAACAAACGAAAACUUAUUUGAUCACUUCAUAUAGUAAAAUACCUUAUGCUAUAUUUGCUUUAAUUGAAUAUUUUUUUCAUAUUUUUUUAACAGAAACCCUUUAUUAAAAUUAGAAUAACUAUUGUUAAAAAAAUAUAAAUAUCAUUAUUAAAUGUCUCUAAAGAACAUUGAUAUCUUGUUUGUCCCUAUAACAUAUGUAACUCAUCACUUGACCUUGGAACCAAACUCACCUCAAAUAAUUGUUAUUUUAUUUUUUGUUUAGCAAAGUUUCAUUUUAUAUUUUACUUCUUAUCUAGCCUCUUAUAAUUGAAAUAGGAAAACCUAAAUUGUAUUAUGUUGUUCUUUGGGAAACUGAACUCAUAUUCAUAGAUUUUCUAUUCAAAUUGUAUUGAUAAGUAAAAUGUGGCUCGAAGGAAAGACUCAAAUUCAUGUGUCCGAUAAGAU
This 1260-nucleotide long non-coding RNA is filed under the name Lathyrus oleraceus (garden pea). Its description in RNAcentral is "Pisum sativum (pea) long non-coding RNA (PSAT_LNC010864)". Lineage: Eukaryota; Viridiplantae; Streptophyta; Magnoliopsida; Fabales; Fabaceae. The record is from RNAcentral.